GUAAUGUAUGGGGAGUCUGCCCGAUAGAGGGGGAGUAACUACUGGAAACGGUGGCUAAUACCGCAUAAUGUCUACGGACCAAAAGCAGGGGCUCUUCGGACCUUGCACUAUCGGAUGAACCCAUAUGGGAUUAGCUAGUAGGUGGGGUAAAGGCUCACCUAGGCGACGAUCUCUAGCUGGUCUGAGAGGAUGAUCAGCCACACUGGGACUGAGACACGGCCCAGACUCCUACGGGAGGCAGCAUG
Molecule: ribosomal RNA, 245 nt
Filed under: uncultured bacterium
Lineage: Bacteria
Description: partial 16S ribosomal RNA
Rfam family: Bacterial small subunit ribosomal RNA
Source: RNAcentral